AGAUAAAAAUUUAUGAUUUAAAAAAUUUAUUUUAAAUUUAAUUUACAUGUAAAUCUUUGUAUGAAUUUUAUUGUAUUUUAAAAAUAUAAUAAAUAAUUUAACAGUAAUUAAAAUUAAAAAUUUAAGAAAUUAAGAUUUAGAAAUAUAAAAAUUAAAUAACGAAUUUUGUGCCAGCAGUUGCGGUUAUACAAAAAUUUAAAUAAAUUAUAUUAAUAAAAAUAAAUAAUUAUAGUAAAAUAAAUUAAAUUUAGAAUUAUUAAGUGAAAUUUUAAUUUUAUAAAAAUUUAUAUAUUAAUUAUGAAUUUAAAAAUUUUAUUAAUAAACUAGGAUUAGAUACCCUAUUAUAAAAAAUUAAUUAAAAAUAUUAAAAUAGUAAAUAAUUAUUUAUUAAAACUUAAAUAAUUUGGCGGUAUUUUAGUUCAUUUAGAGGAAUCUGUCUAUUAAUUGAUAAUCCACGAAUAAUUAUAUUUAAUUUAAAAUUUUAUAUAUCGUUGUUAAAAAAAUAUUUUAUAAAAAGAAUAAUAUUUUAAAAUUUAAAAUUAAAACUAAUUCAGAUCAAGAUGUAGAUAAUAAUUAAAUUUAAGAUGGAUUACAAUAUAAUUAUAUAAAAAUGGAAAAUAAUUUUGAAAUAAUUAUUAGAAAGUGGAUUUAAAUGUAAUUUUAAAUAAUUUUUUAAAAUGAUUGAAAAUUAAAAUAUGUACAUAUUGCCCGUCACUUUCAUUUAAAAAUUGAAAUAAGUCGUAACAAAGUAGGGGUACUGGAAAGUGUUCCUAGAAAGA
Molecule: non-coding RNA, 779 nt
Filed under: Aporia crataegi
Lineage: Eukaryota; Metazoa; Arthropoda; Insecta; Lepidoptera; Pieridae
Source: RNAcentral